GCACCCUGCUUUGAUUUUGUGGACACGGAGCCAGCACCAGACCAGUAUAAAACGAACACGGGACUGACAGAAUCGCACAGUCUUCUUUCACACUCCAAGGAGUAUAGUUUUACCAACUAAAGUUUCAUCGGACUAGGUCUACAAUUGAGAAUAUGAAUCUACUUAUGGUGUUGGUGAUUGUGACAACGGUCUUGAACAUUAUAAAAGCAGCACCCAGCAGCGUGGUAUGUAUUUUCAAUUGGUUAAAGCUUAAAACAAUAGAAAUGUUUUUAAGUCGGUUGAAAUGGAAUGAAAUGAGACUUAAAAUGAAUCCUCCACUUGUUUAUUUCAGGACAUAAGUAAUGACGAAUUGUUGGAUGGAAAAUAUCUAUGUGAAGGUAAAAGAAAUUCUAAAUCUAAAAUCUAGAUAUGUAAAUACGAAUGCUAUCUGCCAGAUAUAGACAGAACACAUCAUUAUAUUACUCAUUGACCGGCAUCCGAAACUAUAUCCAAAAACGUUUUAAUUAUUUUUGAAUUUUUAUUAUUUUGGCCAGAUCGUUCAGCUUUAAAGCAAUAUGGCAACAGCCGCAUAAGCGAUGACAUUUCCACCAAUUCAUCACCAUUUUUAAAUGAAUUUUACAACAGUUUCUUACGAAGCAUUUUGCUCACAAAGAAUAAAAACUUUGAAACUCUGUCUGAGAGGAUGUCGCGUGCAAUGUCUAAGCGUAAUUUAGACAGCAUUGGUGGAGGACAUCUAAUCAAGAGGAGUGAUAGCAGCAGACUGCUAAGCGCCUAAGGUUUUAUAGCAUUUGCAUACCGUAACUGACCGCACCAUCGAUUACAGCCUCGCAAUGUGUAUAUGAUUUGACUGUCAAGUGUAAAUAAUGUAAGGGAUAUUUAUUUGAUGUGUACAUAUCAAAGGAUGUUAAUAAAUUAUUGCAUUUAUAUAUAUA
This 932-nucleotide long non-coding RNA is filed under the name Drosophila guanche. Lineage: Eukaryota; Metazoa; Arthropoda; Insecta; Diptera; Drosophilidae. The record is from RNAcentral.